AAUUACUCGGGGCCGGGACGGCGAGGUAGUGACGACGAAUACCGAUGUUUCCAGUUACAAAGGUAAUUGGCGAUUGGAAUGAGCGCACGGCAAAGAUGUGCGGGAGUAACAAUUGGAGGGCAAGUCUGGUGCCAGCAGCCGCGGUAAUUCCAGCUCCAAGAGUGUAUACUAAAGCUGUUGCGGUUAAAAAGCUCGUAGUUAAUUUUUAAAUGCGUUUAAAAAAGAUAAAAUUUAUUUUAUUUUUUUUAAACGCGUAAAAUCACAUUUUAUGUGAUUUAAUUUAGAUUACCUUUAAAAGUAUUUAAGUAUACAAAGAAUUAUUCUUUUUAAAGGUACUAGAUGGAUUACUUUGAAUAAAAUAGAGUGUUUAAGGCAAGGAAGAUAUUUCCUGUGAAUAUUAUUAGCAUGGGAUAAUGGCGAUAUGUCUAAUUUCGUUGGGGUAAAUAGGAUUUUAAAUGGAUGGCGGACCUUUUAAUUGGUUUUUAAGGGUUCGGAUGAAUAACAAUACUUGUAUUGUUGUUAUCAGUUUAGAUCAAUUCCAUUACAAAAAAUAACCCUGACAUUUUUUAUUUUUUAGACAUGGAAUAGAAACAAAUGGGGUGGUUUAUAUUUCCUAGCGAGGGGUAAAAUCCUGUGACCUGUGAAAGAUAGACAAGAGCGAAAGCAUUCCACAAAAAUGUUUUCAUGUGAUCAAGAACGAAAGUUGGGGGAUCGAAGACGAUCAGAUACUGUCGUAGUCUCGACUAUAAACUAUGCCGACCAGGGAUUGGAAAUGAAUUCGCACUUAUGUGUGACAAUCGAAUUAUUUAAAACGACAAAUGGCGUUUUAAAAUAGACUUCUCCAGCACCUAAGAGAGAAAUCGAGUGAGUGUAUGGGCUUCGGGGGGAGUAUGGUCGCAAGGCUGAAACUUAAAGGAAUUGACGGGAGGGCACACCAGGAGUGGAGCCUGCGGCUUAAUUUGACUCAACACGGGGAAACUUACCAGGGCCAGAUAGCAGGAGGAUUGACAGCAAAUGUUUUAUUGAGAGCUCUUUCUUGAUUUGUUAGGUGGUGGUGCAUGGUCGUUCUUAGUUGGUGGUGUGAAUUGUCUGGUUAAUUCCGAUAACGAACGAGACCUUAACUUAUUAACUACGAAAAAAUAAUUGGAGCAAUUCAAUUGUUUUUUUCUUCUUAAAAGGACUAUUUAUGU
RNAcentral lists this ribosomal RNA (1190 nucleotides) under Iodamoeba sp. RL2. Its description in RNAcentral is "partial small subunit ribosomal RNA". It matches the Rfam family "Eukaryotic small subunit ribosomal RNA", at positions 439 to 1429 of the family's 1831-position model. The record is from RNAcentral. Lineage: Eukaryota; Evosea; Mastigamoebida; Endamoebidae.